GGCUAAAUCACUUUGAAACACCUGUUCCCAUAUGAUCACUGAAGUUAAGCAGCAUCAAGACUGGUCAGUACCUAGAUGGGUGACUAGUUCAGAAUACCAGGUGCUGUAA
Acanthosepion pharaonis is the source of this 109-nucleotide non-coding RNA. The record is from the annotation of a GenBank genome assembly. NCBI's taxonomy places the organism in Eukaryota, Metazoa, Mollusca, Cephalopoda, Sepiida, Sepiidae.